UCGAAAUUUUAAAGGUUCUUCUGUUGAUAAUACUCUCUCUAUGUCAAAUUUUAAUUUUAUAUUCUCUAAUUUAAUUUUUUUGUUAACUUUAAACCGGAAUGUUCUUAUUAAUGUUGCUAAAAUAACUUUGGUACUUAUCAUUGCAUAUUUCAUUCCUGCAAAUUUGUGAAUUCAUAUAUAUAACAAUUUGACUAUAUUUUAUAAUUUGUUUAUCCUUACAGCACUUACACAGCACAAAGCUCCGAUUAAGCUCCUAGGAAGUUUAUUUCGCUGAGCUGCCGAGAAGCUUACAAAAUUCGAUAAAGCCAGCUUCCAGCAAGUUAGUACUGGUACCACUCACUGCCGCGACGUGGCGAGAGGCACUUUAGUCUUUCUCAAACUGACAUUUGGCAGUCAAAGGGCACGCAACGGCGUCGGAUUACCGAUACGUCGUACCUGAAGCUGAGCGUAGGGGGUGAUAGACGGUGCCUCGCGAAAAUCGGCCGAAAUGAGCAGUUCGUGGACAGCUCUGACCUAGCUCAAACGAUUGCUCCCGAAGUGCUCCAUCCACAAUUGCUCCACUUUUAAAAUCAAUAGUUUUUGAAAUAUUAACAAAAAAUUUUUAAUUUUCAAUAAAAAACAUAUUUC
Long non-coding RNA from Vollenhovia emeryi, 627 nucleotides. RefSeq lists it as uncharacterized. NCBI's taxonomy places the organism in Eukaryota, Metazoa, Arthropoda, Insecta, Hymenoptera, Formicidae. The transcript is spliced from 2 exons. The record is from RefSeq and is a predicted model, not a curated record.